This 497-nucleotide ribosomal RNA is filed under the name uncultured bacterium. RNAcentral describes it as "partial 16S ribosomal RNA". It matches the Rfam family "Bacterial small subunit ribosomal RNA", at positions 28 to 507 of the family's 1533-position model. The record is from RNAcentral.
GAUGAACGCUGGCGGCGUGCCUAAUACAUGCAAGUCGAGCGAACAGAUGAGGAGCUUGCUCCUCUGACGUUAGCGGCGGACGGGUGAGUAACACGUGGAUAACCUACCUAUAAGACUGGGAUAACUUCGGGAAACCGGAGCUAAUACCGGAUAAUAUAUUGAACCGCAUGGUUCAAUAGUGAAAGACGGUUUUGCUGUCACUUAUAGAUGGAUCCGCGCCGCAUUAGCUAGUUGGUAAGGUAACGGCUUACCAAGGCGACGAUGCGUAGCCGACCUGAGAGGGUGAUCGGCCACACUGGAACUGAGACACGGUCCAGACUCCUACGGGAGGCAGCAGUAGGGAAUCUUCCGCAAUGGGCGAAAGCCUGACGGAGCAACGCCGCGUAAGUGAUGAAGGUCUUCGGAUCGUAAAACUCUGUUAUUAGGGAAGAACAAAUGUGUAAGUAACUAUGCACGUCUUGACGGUACCUAAUCAGAAAGCCACGGCUAACUACGUG